RNAcentral lists this ribosomal RNA (253 nucleotides) under uncultured bacterium. Its description in RNAcentral is "partial 16S ribosomal RNA". It matches the Rfam family "Bacterial small subunit ribosomal RNA", at positions 524 to 776 of the family's 1533-position model. The record is from RNAcentral.
UACGGAGGGUGCAAGCGUUAAUCGGAAUUACUGGGCGUAAAGGGCGCGUAGGCGGCCUGCUAAGUCGAACGUGAAAUCCCCGGGCUCAACCCGGGAACUGCGUCCGAUACUGGCAGGCUUGAAUCCGGGAGAGGGAUGCGGAAUUCCAGGUGUAGCGGUGAAAUGCGUAGAUAUCUGGAGGAACACCGGUGGCGAAGGCGGCAUCCUGGACCGGCAUUGACGCUGAGGCGCGAAAGCCAGGGGAGCAAACGGG